CCCUUAGAUGUCCUGGGCUGCACGCGCGCUACACUGAUGUGUCCAGUAAGCACCUAACCUCUUCCGAAAGGAACGGGUAACCUUUGCAAAGCACAUCGUGAUGGGGAUAGAUUAUUGCAAUUAUUAGUCUUGAACGAGGAAUUCCUAGUAAGCACAAGUCAUCAGCUUGUGUUGAUUACGUCCCUGCCCUUUGUACACACCGCCCGUCGCUCCUACCGAUUGAAUGUUCCGGUGAGCUCUUCAGACUGCGCGGUCUGCAGUUUCUGCGUUCCGUGCGGAAAGUUGCGCAAACCUUAACAUUUAGAGGAAGGAGAAGUCGUAACA
RNAcentral lists this ribosomal RNA (324 nucleotides) under uncultured eukaryote. RNAcentral's name for it is "partial 18S ribosomal RNA". It matches the Rfam family "Eukaryotic small subunit ribosomal RNA", at positions 1470 to 1796 of the family's 1831-position model. The record is from RNAcentral.